GGCCAGGUAGCUCAGUUGGUAGAGCAGCGGACUGAAAAUCCGCGUGUCGGUGGUUCGAUUCCGCCCCUGGCCACCA
Molecule: transfer RNA, 76 nt
Filed under: Hydrogenophilus islandicus
Lineage: Bacteria; Pseudomonadati; Pseudomonadota; Hydrogenophilia; Hydrogenophilales; Hydrogenophilaceae
Also listed under: 43 other names
Description: tRNA-Phe
Rfam family: tRNA
About the family: Transfer RNA (tRNA) molecules are approximately 80 nucleotides in length.
Source: RNAcentral